RNAcentral lists this ribosomal RNA (330 nucleotides) under uncultured Lachnospiraceae bacterium. RNAcentral describes it as "bacterial SSU rRNA". It matches the Rfam family "Bacterial small subunit ribosomal RNA", at positions 28 to 339 of the family's 1533-position model. The record is from RNAcentral. Lineage: Bacteria; Bacillati; Bacillota; Clostridia; Lachnospirales; Lachnospiraceae.
GAUGAACGCUGGCGGCGUGCUUAACACAUGCAAGUCGAACGAAGCUCUUGUUUUUGAUUCUUCGGAUGAAGAAAUAAGAUGACUGAGUGGCGGACGGGUGAGUAACGCGUGGGAAACCUGCCCUAUGCAGGGGGAUAACAGUUGGAAACGGCUGCUAAUACCGCAUAAGCGCACAGUAUCGCAUGGUACAGUGUGAAAAGCCUUAACGGCAUAGGAUGGUCCCGCGUCUGAUUAGCUAGUUGGUGAGGUAACGGCCCACCAAGGCGACGAUCAGUAGCCGACCUGAGAGGGUGACCGGCCACAUUGGGACUGAGACACGGCCCAAACUCC